RNAcentral lists this ribosomal RNA (484 nucleotides) under uncultured bacterium. RNAcentral's name for it is "partial 16S ribosomal RNA". It matches the Rfam family "Bacterial small subunit ribosomal RNA", at positions 30 to 507 of the family's 1533-position model. The record is from RNAcentral.
AUUGAACGCUGGCGGCAGGCCUAACACAUGCAAGUCGAGCGGAUGAAGGGAGCUUGCUCCUGGAUUCAGCGGCGGACGGGUGAGUAAUGCCUAGGAAUCUGCCUGGUAGUGGGGGAUAACGUCCGGAAACGGGCGCUAAUGCCGCAUACGUCCUGAGGGAGAAAGUGGGGGAUCUUCGGACCCCACGCUAUCAGAUGAGCCUAGGUCGGAUUAGCUAGUUGGUGGGGUAAAGGCCUACCUAGGCGACGAUCCGUAACUGGUCUGAGAGGAUGAUCAGUCACACUGGAACUGAGACACGGUCCAGACUCCUACGGGAGGCAGCAGUGGGGAAUAUUGGACAAUGGGCGAAAGCCUGAUCCAGCCAUGCCGCGUGUGUGAAGAAGGUCUUCGGAUUGUAAAGCACUUUAAGUUGGGAGGAAGGGCAGUAAGUUAAUACCUUGCUGUUUUGACGUUACCAACAGAAUAAGCACCGGCUAACUUCGUG